AGAGACCGUAGAGUGACGUCACAAUGAAAAGUUCACUUCCGGGAGACUGUUAUUAGUUUUAUAUUUCUAUCCGUUUUAUAAAUCUUUCCUUUGGAUUCUGACUUUUAACUCAAAUCAGAAUUAUCACUUAUUGAACUAAGUUCUGCAAGGUAUGUUUAUUUUCUAAAUUUUAUCUCUAAAACCAACCGACUCCUUUUAUUGAGCCAAUAAUCGUUUUAUUCCUUAAAAUCAUUUUUAGUAAAACUAUUCCCAAAAAAGUCAUUAAAGCCUUAAAAUUAAAAAUAUUCGACGUAGUCUUUGAUUUAGCAUGCUUAGCGAGGAAAAUAGUCUCUUUCAAUAUGAUUUCUUCAUGAAUAUAGAAACAUUGCCAAGUCAUUGGUCUGCCUAAUAUUCAACGCAGAGUUAGCAACAACCUACUUAUCUAUUUUUUAUACUUUUACCGUAGUUUAUUAGAUUAAAUUUUAAAGAUAAAUCAAGAAAUUUUCUUAUUACACAAGGUAAAUUAAAAUUUACUUAGGUAUGGUUAACCACAUCGAAAAAAUUUGCCAAAAAGAAAAAUAGAUUAGACCAUGUUUUAUUAAAUAGAAAUUGUAUUGACUGAAAAUCAGUAAAAUAAAUUUUCAUAAAUAGUUUAGUUUGAACACGAUUUUACCAUUUUUUUUAUUAAAUUUUAUUGAAUUUCGGUUAGUGAUUUUUUUCUGAUUAGCUGAGUACACAUUGCUAAUUUUUACUUACUCACCAAAAGCAAGGUGUGACCUUUUUCUUACUCAACCAACUCUUAGAUCAAGAUGAAAGUUCAAUUACGAAAUAUUGCGCUGAUUUAGACAAGCUAUUCGAUAUAACAAGUUAUAUAAUAAAAUGUAUAAUGAUUAAUUUUAAAAAAUAGAUAUUUUUAAUUUUAAACAAGUAUAUCCAAAUAUAGAAACUAUAUUUUCACUUUCGAAUUGAAUUGACUCUCUAUAAUCCGUUUAAUAUGGAAGAGAGGAAGAUAAAAAAAAUGGACGAUAACGAAAUGGAGGAAUGUGACAUGGGCAGUGAUGAAGAUUAUUACAAUGAUCCAGAUCCCGAUGUAACUCAUACUGAUAACGAUAAAGAUCCAGAAUCUUUCGAGUAUAAAAUUUUAGAAGUUGUUGAGGUAGAAAUGCUCUUAAACACAUCAGUUGAAACAAUGUGUAAAACAAUUGAUGUUUCUCCUUCGUUGGCAAAACUACUUUUACAUAACUAUUCUUGGAAUACUCAAAAGAUAGAGGCCGAAUAUAGACAAAACCCGGAACAAUUGUUGAUUAAUGGAAAGAUAAAACCUUCUAAAAUAGCUAAGGGUGUUAGCCGCAAAAACGAAUGCAUUGUCUGUGCUCAAGAAGUUGAUACGCUUUUGGGGGUUGAAUGUCGGCAUCGGUUUUGUGAGACAUGUUGGUGUCAACACUUCGAAGUUCAGAUACUGAAUGGAGUUUCGACUGCAAUUGGAUGUAUGGGAACUGACUGUACUGUUUUAAUGCCGGAAGAUUUCGUUCUUUCUAUAUUACGAUGCAGAAAUCAAUCUAAACUUAGUCAGCAAUAUCAGGAGCUAACAUUCAGAAGCUAUGUUUCUAACCAUCCUGAGCUGCUUUAUUGUCCUGGACCGAAUUGCACAGCUGUAAUACAAGCAAAAGCUAAGGAAGCCAAGAGAGUUGACUGCAAAAAAUGCAAAACUACGUUCUGCUUCAAAUGUGGAAUCGAUUAUCAUGCACCAGCCGAUUGCGAUACAAUUAAGAAAUGGCUGAUCAAGUGUGCCGAUGAUUCAGAGACGGCAAAUUACAUUAGCGCUCAUACUAAGGAUUGUCCUAAGUGCCAAGUAUGUAUUGAAAAAGAUGGUGGAUGUAAUCACAUGAAAUGUAAAAAAUGUGGUCACGAUUUCUGUUGGAUGUGUCUUGGGGAUUGGAGUGCACAUGGUUCGGAAUAUUAUGAAUGUUCGAAAUACAAAGAAAACCCUAAUAUUGCUAAUGAAUCUGAGCAUGCUCAAGCUAGGGAGGCUUUAAAGAAAUAUUUAUUUUAUUUUGAACGCUGGGCUAAUCACGACAAUUCUCUGCGAAAAGAGAAGGACAAAAUGAAGGAGAUUGCAAAACAAAUUGAAGAAAAGGUAACAACAAAAGACGGCACAUGGAUCGACUGGCAAUAUUUGAACAAAGCUGGUGAAUUGUUGCGAAGAUGUCGUUACACUCUUCAAUACACUUAUCCUUAUGCUUACUACAUGUUAAAAGGAGCUAGAAAAGAAUUGUUUGAAUAUCAACAAGCACAGCUGGAAAGUGCAGUAGAAGCAUUGUCUUAUGAUAUUGAAAGAGCUGUUUUGGACUCGCGUGGUGACAUUGAAAAUAAAAUGGACGUAGUUGAAAAGCGUCGCUUAACUCUAGUCCGAGAAUUCCUUGUAACGUAA
This 2410-nucleotide unclassified non-coding RNA is filed under the name Dimorphilus gyrociliatus. RNAcentral describes it as "rBR-type E3 ubiquitin transferase". Lineage: Eukaryota; Metazoa; Annelida; Polychaeta; Dinophilidae. The record is from RNAcentral.